This is a non-coding RNA of Pelobates cultripes (western spadefoot toad), 231 nucleotides long. NCBI's taxonomy places the organism in Eukaryota, Metazoa, Chordata, Amphibia, Anura, Pelobatidae. The record is from the annotation of a GenBank genome assembly.
CAGCCAUAAUAAACGUAUAAUUCAAUCACUUACAUCAGCUGGUAUUACUGUCUACAAUAUACAGAUCAAUUCUAGUGCAAGUGAGAUGAGGGAAUUAACAAGAAGGAUUAUCUUGAAGUGAUGGUUGGAGAGACCUCCACAUAUCAAAUAAAUUGUGCCCAUGCAACAGUUUAGACAAAUUUUGACCUAACUUAACUUGACCACAUCUAGGUUUAUGUCCCAUUCAUUGAA